GGGUCUGUAGCCUUGAAGUUACGCUUCCGCUUCAUAAGCGGAAGGUCAUGGGUUCGAUUCCCAGCCCCU
This is a non-coding RNA of Aedes aegypti (yellow fever mosquito), 69 nucleotides long. The record is from Rfam. Lineage: Eukaryota; Metazoa; Arthropoda; Insecta; Diptera; Culicidae.